GUUUACUGGUCUAGUUAUAUGUACAUAUUGUAUCAACCUUUCUGUAUGACAGGAUGUGGUGAGGUCUGGAUACAAGCUACAUUGAAAUAUUAUGUCAGAAGGUGUGAACUCUGUCAACAGUAGCAACUGCAGCAGAUGUGUAAUAAAAUUUAAUUUAAAUAUGAUGCGGUUUUGAUGUUCUAAAUAGAGCACAUAUUGUUUGGGCAUUUGUAAGCAGUGUAACCAACAUUAUUCAAAUAUGUAUUUAAUUUGAAUCCCUAGAUAAACAGGUUUCGUAUUAUACUUUAGCAAGAGUCCAUAUACAGGCUGAAAACGUGGGUGUCUCUCAGGAAGUGAAAGAGGACAGCUACCUACAGGAUGGGCUGUUUCUGUGCUCUGCUUCUUACAUGUGUCAUUGCAAAUUGGUGUGGGUAAUGGGUAGGACAUGUGUGUGAAAUAUUUUGUUCAGCUGUUAACAUUUUUCAGUGCCCUUGUGCCAUAUGGAUUAAAUUGUUCAGAGUCAUGUAGCAACACUACUCUCAACAUUUGGCUGGGCUCGGAGGUCUUGCUCCCAUGCAGCCUUUUGAAAAGUGGAAAAACCGAAGAAGUCAGGUGGAGCCAAACUUCCAGCCUUCUGAGCAUCGGGUCUUCUGGAAAUGUCACCUUUGAGGAUCCUAGGGAUGGCAGAUUGACAGCAUUCCCCUUCCUGUUUGGCAGAGGAAACUUUUCCAUCCUCGUUCAUCAGUUUCAGGCCUCUGACCUGGGCAUCUACUGCUGUCAGCUGAGCCACGAGUGCCAGAGAGUCGAAAUAAAGCUCUCGCAAAGUUCAGAAAGUCACAAAGGAGGCUUAAAUUUCCCAUGGUACUACAUUGUUGCUGGAGUUGGAAUAUUUAUUCUGCUUGUGACUGUAUUUUGUCUUAUCUACAAAUUCAGAGGAAAGUGUCUAAACAGUGCAUCUGAUUCUUAUUACGUCAACCAAGAACAAAGGGAGGGAGAACAUAGAGAUCGUGUUGACCGCACCAAGGUUGAUGAGUGUGAUGGUGAGUAUGAAGACAUAGAGAGUGAUACACAAGGGGCGGAUUAUGAAAACGCAUCAGGAGAAGAUACAAUGAGGGAAGAGCAGGACGAGGAUUAUGUAAACACUGAGAGAAGAAAUGGUCAUGAUCAGUAUUAUGAUACUGACAGAGAGUGCCCUGCUGAACACCAUGUGGAGAGAGAUAUGCAAGGUUACCAUGACAAUGAUGUCUAUGAAAAUGAUGAGCACAAUCCCAAACAAAAGUCAAAAGUCCCCCCAAAAGCAGCAGCAGCUUUCAGAAAAAUGCCAAAUCAGCAGCCGGGUUCAGUAGGACUGUACUAUGCCAAUCAGUCAGAGAUAGACAAGUCUCGCUGUGCUAGGAACAGAAACAAAGACAAAGAAUAUCAGUUCAAAAAUCCAUUAUAUGACCGAACUCCAGCAAACAAUAAAUAAACAGUCAUCUUCCAACUCACUGAAAACAUGCCUGUUUAAGUUUAUGUACUGUAAUAUUCUGUAAUGGUAUUGUUCCACUGGAUUUGUGACUUAGGAAAUAGUGAAAAUGGGUACAUGGUUCUGGUUUAUACUGCAUAAAGAUGUCUGAGGUCGUGUAUCAGUGUGAUUUCUUUCAUUGUUUAUCAGGCUUAAUCAUCAUCAGUUAUAUACUUUUGAGAUAUUUUUUCUUGUGAAGAUAAAUCAAUAAAUAGGUCCUUAACUCUUUCUUUUGAGUCUGAUUAUUUUGUGCUGAGUUUCUGAUUAAUGCAGUAUUUAUGAAGCUAAAAAUCUUUCCUCCUAGGCUCGUUUUUAGAUCUAUGAGGCCUUCUGUCUUCAGCAUGUGCGUCUGCUAGAGAGAGAAUGUUCUUCAGAUUAUCACAAGUCAAACGAUUUUCACUGUAUGUCAUUUUGUUUUUGUAAAAACCGUUAGAUUAGAGAUGCAGUUCAACCUAAUCAAGGUUACACGGACCCAGGCCAGUGGGAAGAUAGAGAGAGGCUGCAACAGAAGAUACCGGGGUGACAGUCAGAGAAAAGCUCUUAUGGCUUAGUGAUUUUUACUGAAAUAAAAUUAUACAGCACAACCUUGCAUUAUUUUAAUAAAUCUAAAUAAUAGAUUUUGUGCAUUUUUUUGGACUGAUUAUUUAUUUAUUUUAAAGAUUUUAAACUUCUUUUUUUUUUUUUUUUAAGUUAGCUAAAACAAUUUAACAAACCAAAAACUAUACUUGUUUGGUUGGAUCAAUACAUUUAUGGAUUAAUUAAAUGUGUAUAUACACCAUACUGUGAAGUCUUUACUUGCAUUCUUGUCUAUGCUGAGCAUUAGUUUAUUCUUUUUUUCUUCUAGUUUUUGUACCUUUGAGUCUCUUUACAUUUCUACUGUUUGCUUGGUUUUCACUUGUGCCUGUUCUCAUCAAUGGAUUAGAAUAUUAAUUAAAUGCCUAGCUGUAAUGUUAACCAUUUAAGAACGCUAACAUGACACAAAAUCAGCCUUCUUAGAUUUGAUCUGUUGGAUUUGACCCUAGAAAACAAUGAAGCAAUAAAAAUUAUAUUAGUCUGUGCUGUCUUAGCAGAGGUUUUUUUUUUUAUACACUCUCUCCUUUGGAAAGCAUUAGCUAAGCAUAAAUAGCUAUCUUAAAUUCUAAUAGUAGACUUGUGCCUUGCAGUAUUUGUUCACAGUUUUUCGCAGUUUGUUCCAGUGAAGGGGAAACUAAUGCUACAUCAUACAAAGACAUCCUAUACAAUUGUGUGCUUCAAACUUUGUGGCAACAUAUUGAGGAAGGCUCACAUAUGGGUUCAAUGGUCAGGUCAGGGUUUAUAAUGUAUGUCAUGAAUCUAAUCUAAUAUCCCAUAAUAUUUAAGUGGUGGGACGUCGACAAUAUAGGUUGAAAAAUGAUUUACAAAUAAAUGACUGCACCCCAUACUGCAAACACCCUAAAUUAGUUGUGGUGCACCCAGUCACCAUC
Long non-coding RNA from Ictalurus punctatus (channel catfish), 2946 nucleotides. NCBI's taxonomy places the organism in Eukaryota, Metazoa, Chordata, Actinopteri, Siluriformes, Ictaluridae. The record is from Ensembl.